This 65-nucleotide transfer RNA is filed under the name Kinyongia fischeri (Fischer's chameleon). Its description in RNAcentral is "tRNA-Phe". Lineage: Eukaryota; Metazoa; Chordata; Lepidosauria; Squamata; Chamaeleonidae. The record is from RNAcentral.
GUUAUUGUAGCUUAUUUAAAGCGUAGUAUUGAAAAUACUAAAACGGGCCCAACGCCCCAAAAACA